CGUGUCCUAACACGCUAAAUACAGGGAGAGACAUAGAGGGGGAGGGGGAGACAGAGAGAGACAGAUGUCUCACGUGUCCUAACACUAAAUACAGGGAGAGACACAGAGGGGGAGGGAGAGACAGAGAGAGACAGAUGUCCCCUGUGUCCUACACACUAAAUACAGGGCGAGACAGAGAGGGAGAGAGAGACAGAUGUCCCACAUGUCCUAACACGCUAAAUACAGGGAGAGACACAGAGGGGUAGGAGAGACAGAGAGAAACAGAUGUCCCCUGUGUCCUACACACUAAAUACAGGGAGAGACACAGAGGGGGAGGAGAGACUGAGAGAGACAGAUGUCUCACGUGUCCUAACACGCUAAAUACUGAUUCAUAGGAAGAAAGUCCUUCAGCAGGGACGUGUGCAGAGACACUUUGCAGGACAGGGGGUCAAGUUUAAAAAAAAAAAAAAAAAAAAAAAAAAGGGGCAAUAAUUAAUAAGUAACUUUAUUUAUAAA
Molecule: long non-coding RNA, 495 nt
Organism: Etheostoma spectabile (orangethroat darter)
Lineage: Eukaryota; Metazoa; Chordata; Actinopteri; Perciformes; Percidae
Exons: 2
Source: RefSeq, a predicted model, not a curated record